CCUACGGGGGGCAGCAGUGAGGAAUAUUGGUCAAUGGGCGAGAGCCUGAACCAGCCAAGUCGCGUGAAGGAUGACGGCCCUACGGGUUGUAAACUUCUUUUGUCAGGGAGCAAUUGGGUCCACGCGUGGGCUUAGCGAGAGUACCUGAAGAAAAAGCAUCGGCUAACUCCGUUCCAGCAGCCGCGGUAAUACGGGGGAUGCGAGCGUUAUCCGGAUUUAGUGGGUUUAAAGGGUGCGUAGGCGGAAUAUCAAGGCAGCGGUAAAAAUUCGGGGCUAAACCCCGUCGUGCCGUUGAAACUGAUGUUCUUGAGUGGGCGAGAGGUAUGCGGAAUGCGUGGUGUAGCGGUGAAAUGCAUAGAUAUCACGCAGAACUCCGAUUGCGAAGGCAGCAUACCGGCGCCCAACUGACGCUGAAGCACGAAAGCGUGGGUAUCGAACAGGAUUAGAUACCCGAGUAGUC
RNAcentral lists this ribosomal RNA (460 nucleotides) under uncultured bacterium. RNAcentral's name for it is "partial 16S ribosomal RNA". It matches the Rfam family "Bacterial small subunit ribosomal RNA", at positions 338 to 795 of the family's 1533-position model. The record is from RNAcentral.